This 253-nucleotide ribosomal RNA is filed under the name uncultured bacterium. RNAcentral describes it as "partial 16S ribosomal RNA". It matches the Rfam family "Bacterial small subunit ribosomal RNA", at positions 524 to 776 of the family's 1533-position model. The record is from RNAcentral.
UACGUAGGGACCAAGCGUUGUUCGGAUUUACUGGGCGUAAAGGGCGCGUAGGCGGUGCGGUAAGUCACUUGUGAAAUCUCUGAGCUUAACUCAGAACGGCCAAGUGAUACUGCAGUACUAGAGUGCGGAAGGGGCAAUCGGAAUUCUUGGUGUAGCGGUGAAAUGCGUAGAUAUCGAGAGGAACACCUGAGGUGAAGACGGGUUGCUGGGCCGACACUGACGCUGAGGCGCGAAAGCGUGGGGAGCAAACAGG